RNAcentral lists this ribosomal RNA (399 nucleotides) under uncultured bacterium. RNAcentral's name for it is "bacterial SSU rRNA". It matches the Rfam family "Bacterial small subunit ribosomal RNA", at positions 28 to 411 of the family's 1533-position model. The record is from RNAcentral.
GAUGAACGCUGGCGGCGUGCUUAACACAUGCAAGUCGAGCGAAGCGCUUAUGAUGAUUCUUCGGAUGAAUCAUUUGUGACUGAGCGGCGGACGGGUGAGUAACGCGUGAGUAACCUGCCUCAUACAGGGGAAUAACAGUUAGAAAUGACUGCUAAUGCCGCAUAAGCGCACAGGGCCGCAUGGCCCGGUGUGAAAAACUCCGGUGGUAUGAGAUGGACUCGCGUCUGAUUAGCUAGUUGGCAGGGUAACGGCCUACCAAGGCAACGAUCAGUAGCCGGCCUGAGAGGGUGAACGGCCACAUUGGGACUGAGACACGGCCCAAACUCCUACGGGAGGCAGCAGUGGGGAAUAUUGCACAAUGGGGGAAACCCUGAUGCAGCGACGCCGCGUGGAGUGAAA